GCCACAGCCAUAUCACCCUGCAGCCCAAGACUGGUUGCCCACUAAAGCUAAGCAGGGUUGAGCUUGGUCAGUACCUGGAUGGGAGACCUCCUGGGAAAACUAGAUUGCUGUUGGCA
RNAcentral lists this ribosomal RNA (116 nucleotides) under Sinocyclocheilus grahami. Lineage: Eukaryota; Metazoa; Chordata; Actinopteri; Cypriniformes; Cyprinidae. The record is from RNAcentral.